GGUCUCAGAAUACAAAUGAUAAGCUGUGUUUACACAGUUUCCCAGGAGCUCAAAGUGCUUGGUAGACUAGUUUUUCUGUAUUGUGAAUAAUUCUUACACUGAACUCAUUAUUAUUGACUCUAUCUUGCUGCCAUGGAGACUAAAACACAAAAAGAAGUGGCUGGUUUGUGGUAACGAAGACAACAGGACACACAGAUCCGCUUGGUGCAAGUGCAAAAGAAACCACAGAUGGAAGCUCACAGAUGGAAGCCCGCUGAUCAUACAGCUGUUUCUUUGUUGCCUUCUGCCAUCCACUGUGAGAGACAUAUGCCCUGGACUGCUAUUUGUUCAAGUGGAGUGAGAAAAUGCACGGAGCAGACCUAAAUACAUCACUUCCGUGAAGUCCAACCAAUCAUAGCUGAGCCCCUCGGAGCUGUAUCUCACCCAAUGACUUGUCAUCAGUGCUGUGAGCCACCAAGCUCUGCAGUGGUUUGUUACAGAGCAUUACUACGGUAAAAACAACUCAUAUGUGCCUUCUAUUCCUAGUUGGCUAAGAGGUGUUAGUAUAAAUAGGCUUUGAACUUUAUCAAAUACUUUAUCUGCAUUUAUUGAGAUGAUAAAGUAGUUUCCUCCCUUAUUCUAUUUGUGUGGUAAAUUUAUGUUGUUUGAUUUUUAAAUGUUAGAAAAAUUCUGCAUUCCUGGAUUUUAUAGAAGGAACCAGCUGUGUACUGAAGUAUUAUUCUUUUUAGGCUUUACGGGAUUUCACUUGCUUAUUGAUGUAUUUAUUUUAUUUGUGCAUCUAUGUUCAUGAGAGAGAUUGGCCUGUCAAUUUUCUGUGUCGUAUUGUCAUUAUCUGGUUGUGUUACCAAUGUUCUGUCAUUCUUUGGGAAAGUUUGGGUAAGACUGGAAAUUGUUUCUUUCUUGAAUAGUAUAUUCACAGCAUUCUUUAAUAAAGACGUGUAGGCCUAAGUUUUCUUCGAGGAAAUAUUUAUGACUACUCAUUUUUUAAAUUGUUAUUAUGGACUAUUCAAGAUUUCUAUUUCUUUUCGAGUGAGUUUAGUUAAAGGGAAGUUGCCUUUGCAUUUGUCAGAUACCUGAGGUUCUAUUAUUUGGGUUGCCUCAAACCAAGUUCAGGGUCCCUGGAAUAGCUCGGGUGGCAUAGCCUAGGUCCAGAUUUGUGCUACGGUUGUUCCGAAGCUAAGUCUCUCAGGGACGGCUUCUUGCCCUUUUCCCUUGGGUUUCCUCUUCAGCUCCACGUGGCGCCAAGACAGCUCUCCCUGCAGUUCACCAGGGUUGAGAGGAAGUGGGUCAAAUCUAGGUCUUUACCCUAAGCUGAGGAGUCAGGUCCUUGGGACCUCACCUCAGCAGAGAGAAAUUCCUUGUAAGUCUCCCCACUCCAGACAGAGCCUGGGCCUCUGAACUCUCUCUCCCUGGCCUAGCUGGAAGCAGAAUUUAAAUAUUUGAUUUCCAGACAAAAGCAGCUUUUGAAACUUCAACACUCUUAUCCUUCUGAUUAUAGACUUUCACCCAAAAAUUGGCCAAGGAGUUCUCCUCUGCCUUAUUGGAUCUGUAUUGGGAAAGAACCAGAGUCAGGUCAAAAUUACAUGCAGAGGAGGUGAGAAAAUUUAAGAUUUUUCUGAAAGGAAUUAGGCCUGUGGUUCUUGAUGUUUUCUGGUAAUGAUAAAUAGGAGGCAUUUUGGGCUUCUGCUUUCUUUUUACUCCUGUGAAUGAUAUGCUCCUUAUUCCAUUUUCUGACCCACCUUCAGCAAAAAUAUUAAGAAUCCCUCCUUCCAGGACAGACCGUCCUUUCAAUUGGGAGUGCAGGACAAGCAGCAAAAGAACCAUCCCACCAGCGACAAGUCCCUGUGGGAAUCAGCUAGAAUUUUCUAGGAUAACUUUAUACGCGUUAAAAGGAUAAGGACAUCUAGGUACACAUCUAGAUUUUUUUUUUUUAAAUUACGUUUGCUGGCAAUGAUAGCAGUCAGACCCUUCCAGAUAAAAUUGCUUAAGGUCACUGUAUAAGAAAAAAUACUGAGCUGGAUAAAUCUUUGGACUAUCUGAGAGUGGUAUUUCUUAUUAGAAUCUAGCCAGGUAAUCACCUCCAAAAGUUUGUAUUUUUCUUCAAAUAAAGAUCUCUUUCUGAGCACUGCUUGUCCUCCUGGCUGCAUGGUUUGGCUUCUUAGUCUAAGCUAUUUAUUUUUACUUUGCCUUUUCACAGAAGUCUCCUAUAUGUUUCUUCCCUCUACUUGAUAGAGGCUUUCCUCAUGUCUAUACAGAAGGAGCUGUGAUAUUUGGGGUGCACGGUUCAACAGUAAGAAAGAAGAUAGUAAUCUAAUUUAAUAAGCAGAGCUGCUAAUAGCUUUCUGGUAAAUCUGGAAUUUCUCCCUUCCCCCACUAGAUAUGCCAGGAGGCACCUCCGGAUGAUGGAGAUGAUGACUGAUGAUAUGGCAAUGCCUUCUAGGUCCAUCUGUCACAUGCAAACUCAGUUCAGCGCUGCUCCACGUGCGCUCGAUGUGACCUCUGAGAUUGGAGUUUGGCUGUGCUCCAAGGCCUCUUUCUGGCUUCUGUCCUGGUGUUUUAUAUAUGAUCUGCAGGUGUUACUGAUAUAAUUUGUCCAGGAGUUAUAGAUGAUGUCAUGCUUACUAACCUAGAUUUUCCUGCAGUCAGUGUAAUACAAGAAAAACCCUAAAAGUGGAAUCACUGAUGAUUACAUAAUAAAAUAACAUCCUAGAAACAGCUUUGCGUGCCUGUUAUGAGAUGAGAGCAUAUGGUUAUCUCUGAUUUAGAUUUGCUUUUGAGAAUUAAUUUAAUUUGGAAUGAGAGAUCCAGGCCAGCCUUCAGAAUGAAACAUAUGAUUAUAAUUUUAGAAUUAUGAAGAGAGAUGAUUCAAUUGUGGAUUGUGGAGAUAAAGUGUUUUGAAGGAGUUAGAGAAGGGUAGAGGACAGUCUUGACUGGAGAUGGUAUGAUCCGAGCAGAUGCUAUGGACUGAAAUUGAGGACGAGUUUUAACCACAUUGAAUGAAAGUCCGUUUGCCAGGGCUGUUGUGUUGACUCGUGAAAUUCAUUCCAAGCACUUUGAACAUCUACUGUUUCUGCCUUCUUUCCUAAAAUCAAUCUAGGUGGAUGGACUAUACCAAGCCACAUAUCAGUAAAGAAGAGGGACUCUUGGGAAUAUAAUAUGACUAUAAAAUGGCUUCAUUUGGGAAUUUUAAUGUAUCUAUAUUUAUAAUAAGAAAAAUGUCAAAGCAAACUAACAAAUUACCUCAGUGUAAAUUGUAAGUUUGCUUGCUUCUAUGAUUUGCCCAUAACUAAACAAAAAUGGGAUGAGAAAAAGGGCUUUGGGAUCCUUGGAGUUAAGAAGAUUUAUGACAACUCCCAUCCUGGUUACAUAAUGAUCUCUCUCCUUCCGAAGAGCUAUGAGGAGUGUGGUGAAAAAUUCAGGAAAGCUGAAUUCAAUGAAAUGUUCUAGAAGAUGAGCCAGGACAUUGGACUAGUUGUGGAUGCUUUCUGUCCCUAAGAUUUCUCAUCUUCGUUUUUAGUCCUCUCAUUCUUCAGCUAGCUUGUAGACAAAAAUAUUUCCUCAUGAAAAUGGUUUUUAUCACUCAAAAAAAAAAAGGGAUAUUCCCAGUUGUAGAAG
Molecule: non-coding RNA, 3615 nt
Organism: Equus caballus (horse)
Lineage: Eukaryota; Metazoa; Chordata; Mammalia; Perissodactyla; Equidae
Source: RefSeq, a predicted model, not a curated record